Molecule: ribosomal RNA, 428 nt
Filed under: Fusobacteriota bacterium
Lineage: Bacteria; Fusobacteriati; Fusobacteriota
Description: Fusobacteria bacterium partial 16S ribosomal RNA
Rfam family: Bacterial small subunit ribosomal RNA
Source: RNAcentral
UGGGGAAUAUUGCGCAAUGGGCGAAAGCCUGACGCAGCGACGCCGCGUGAGGGAUGAAGGUUUUCGGAUCGUAAACCUCUGUCAGAAGGGAAGAAACCGCACUGUGCUAAUCAGAGUGCCUUGACGGUACCUUCAAAGGAAGCACCGGCUAACUCCGUGCCAGCAGCCGCGGUAAUACGGAGGGUGCAAGCGUUACUCGGAAUUACUGGGCGUAAAGCGCACGUAGGCUGCUUUGUAAGUCAGGGGUGAAAUCCCACGGCUCAACCGUGGAACUGCCUUUGAUACUGCUUAGCUUGAAUCCGGGAGAGGGUGGCGGAAUUCCAGGUGUAGGAGUGAAAUCCGUAGAUAUCUGGAGGAACAUCAGUGGCGAAGGCGGCCACCUGGACCGGUAUUGACGCUGAGGUGCGAAAGCGUGGGGAGCAAACAGG